GGUAACCUGCCCAUCAGAAGGGGAUAACACUUGGAAACAGGUGCUAAUACCGUAUAACACUAUUUUCCGCAUGGAAGAAAGUUGAAAGGCGCUUUUGCGCCACUGAUGGAUGGACCCGCGGUGCAUUAGCUAGUUGGUGAGGUAACGGCUCACCAAGGCCACGAUGCAUAGCCGACCUGAGGGGGUGAUCGGCCACACUGGGACUGAGACACGGCCCAGACUCCUACGGGAGGCAGCAGUAGGGAAUCUUCGGCAAUGGACGAAAGUCUGACCGAGCAACGCCGCGUGAGUGAAGAAGGUUUUCGGAUCGUAAAACUCUGUUGUUAGAGAAGAACAAGGAUGAGAGUAGAACGUUCAUCCCUUGACGGUAUCUAACCAGAAAGCCACGGCUAACUACGUGCCAGCAGCCGCGGUAAUACGUAGGUGGCAAGCGUUGUCCGGAUUUAUUGGGCGUAAAGCGAGCGCAGGCGGUUUCUUAAGUCUGAUGUGAAAGCCCCCGGCUCAACCGGGGAGGGUCAUUGGAAACUGGGAGACUUGAGUGCAGAAGAGGAGAGUGGAAUUCCAUGUGUAGCGGUGAAAUGCGUAGAUAUAUGGAGGAACACCAGUGGCGAAGGCGGCUCUCUGGUCUGUAACUGACGCUGAGGCUCGAAAGCGUGGGGAGCGAACAGGAUUAGAUACCCUGGUAGUCCACGCCGUAAAC
This 700-nucleotide ribosomal RNA is filed under the name uncultured bacterium. RNAcentral's name for it is "bacterial SSU rRNA". It matches the Rfam family "Bacterial small subunit ribosomal RNA", at positions 120 to 807 of the family's 1533-position model. The record is from RNAcentral.